GCCCUGAUAGCUCAGUUGGUUAGAGCAUGGAGCUGAAAAUGCCAAAAUUGCAAGUUCGAUCCCUGUAUAGGACA
Podarcis lilfordi (Lilford's wall lizard) is the source of this 74-nucleotide non-coding RNA. The record is from the annotation of a GenBank genome assembly. Lineage: Eukaryota; Metazoa; Chordata; Lepidosauria; Squamata; Lacertidae.